Molecule: transfer RNA, 76 nt
Filed under: Sphaerodactylus townsendi
Lineage: Eukaryota; Metazoa; Chordata; Lepidosauria; Squamata; Sphaerodactylidae
Description: tRNA-Ala
Rfam family: tRNA
About the family: Transfer RNA (tRNA) molecules are approximately 80 nucleotides in length. Their secondary structure includes four short double-helical elements and three loops (D, anti-codon, and T loops).
Source: RNAcentral
GGAAAUGUGGUACAUCAGUGGCAGGGCAUCUGCUUGGCAUGUAGAGGGUCGCAGGUUCAAUUCCUGCUAAUUUUUU